This 1210-nucleotide ribosomal RNA is filed under the name Cutibacterium acnes subsp. acnes. Its description in RNAcentral is "bacterial SSU rRNA". It matches the Rfam family "Bacterial small subunit ribosomal RNA", at positions 92 to 1314 of the family's 1533-position model. Lineage: Bacteria; Bacillati; Actinomycetota; Actinomycetes; Propionibacteriales; Propionibacteriaceae. The record is from RNAcentral.
CGAGUGGCGAACGGGUGAGUAACACGUGAGUAACCUGCCCUUGACUUUGGGAUAACUUCAGGAAACUGGGGCUAAUACCGGAUAGGAGCUCCUGCUGCAUGGUGGGGGUUGGAAAGUUUCGGCGGUUGGGGAUGGACUCGCGGCUUAUCAGCUUGUUGGUGGGGUAGUGGCUUACCAAGGCUUUGACGGGUAGCCGGCCUGAGAGGGUGACCGGCCACAUUGGGACUGAGAUACGGCCCAGACUCCUACGGGAGGCAGCAGUGGGGAAUAUUGCACAAUGGGCGGAAGCCUGAUGCAGCAACGCCGCGUGCGGGAUGACGGCCUUCGGGUUGUAAACCGCUUUCGCCUGUGACGAAGCGUGAGUGACGGUAAUGGGUAAAGAAGCACCGGCUAACUACGUGCCAGCAGCCGCGGUGAUACGUAGGGUGCGAGCGUUGUCCGGAUUUAUUGGGCGUAAAGGGCUCGUAGGUGGUUGAUCGCGUCGGAAGUGUAAUCUUGGGGCUUAACCCUGAGCGUGCUUUCGAUACGGGUUGACUUGAGGAAGGUAGGGGAGAAUGGAAUUCCUGGUGGAGCGGUGGAAUGCGCAGAUAUCAGAGGAACACCAGUGGCGAAAGCGGUUCUCUGGGCCUUUCCUGACGCUGAGGAGCGAAAGCGUGGGGAGCGAACAGGCUUAGAUACCCUGGUAGUCCACGCUGUAAACGGUGGGUACUAGGUGUGGGGUCCAUUCCACGGGUUCCGUGCCGUAGCUAACGCUUUAAGUACCCCGCCUGGGGAGUACGGCCGCAAGGCUAAAACUCAAAGGAAUUGACGGGGCCCCGCACAAGCGGCGGAGCAUGCGGAUUAAUUCGAUGCAACGCGUAGAACCUUACCUGGGUUUGACAUGGAUCGGGAGUGCUCAGAGAUGGGUGUGCCUCUUUUGGGGUCGGUUCACAGGUGGUGCAUGGCUGUCGUCAGCUCGUGUCGUGAGAUGUUGGGUUAAGUCCCGCAACGAGCGCAACCCUUGUUCACUGUUGCCAGCACGUUAUGGUGGGGACUCAGUGGAGACCGCCGGGGUCAACUCGGAGGAAGGUGGGGAUGACGUCAAGUCAUCAUGCCCCUUAUGUCCAGGGCUUCACGCAUGCUACAAUGGCUGGUACAGAGAGUGGCGAGCCUGUGAGGGUGAGCGAAUCUCGGAAAGCCGGUCUCAGUUCGGAUUGGGGUCUGCAACUCG